Molecule: long non-coding RNA, 210 nt
Filed under: Lathyrus oleraceus (garden pea)
Lineage: Eukaryota; Viridiplantae; Streptophyta; Magnoliopsida; Fabales; Fabaceae
Description: Pisum sativum (pea) long non-coding RNA (PSAT_LNC006097)
Source: RNAcentral
UUUUUUGCUCCAAAUUGAAAUGGCGUGAAUAACAUUUUCCAUGGCUUAUAUUAUGAACUCAUUGGCUUUAAAUUGAAGGAUCCCUUCUUCCCAAACCUUGCCAAGCAAUCUCAGAACUCCAUUCCAUAGAAUUUAUUGAGGAUUUCAUUGAAAUCGAGUUCUUGAUUCCACUUCUGUUUGGGGACAAGAACUCCAAGAAUUCAUAUCCAU